Molecule: long non-coding RNA, 1193 nt
Organism: Heterocephalus glaber (naked mole-rat)
Lineage: Eukaryota; Metazoa; Chordata; Mammalia; Rodentia; Bathyergidae
Source: Ensembl
UCUUUUAUAUAAACUGUGACAGCAACUUGCAUAAACAAUUCUUUAGCUAUUAAUUUUAAUGUAAAAACUUUGCAAAACUUGUUUAAUAAAAAUAGCUGUAAAAAGAAAAAAACAUAUGCUGCCGCAUAAAUUAGCCAUAACUCAAUAAUCCUGCCCAUCACAAGUGAACUGUAAUGUAACCUGGGCACAAAGUCUGACAUCUUAAAUGACACAUUGUAAAAUUUCAAUGACUGUAGAUUAGAACUCCUGCUGCACCCCAAAGUAAAUCUUUCUGUUUAGCUAUUUUAAAAUGUACAAGGAUGAGCCCCAUAGGACCCCAUAUUGAUAUUCACAGUGAAAUGUUACUUAAAAUUUAAAAGUUGCAUGUUUCUUUCCUGUAAUGUAUAAACUGCAUGCAGGAUCUCUAUCUUUAUUUUGUAUGUCUUUAAAACUUCUUUUCAAAAGACUGAUCUCUUAUUUCUCCAUUUUCAGGUGACUGAAAACUCCUAAGACAUUUCCUGGACUAGAAUGGGUAGUGAAGACCCAUGUCAGCUGUCCGAAGAGUCUAGAAACCAGGAGAGCUACCUGCUAUAAACAGCCAUCCUGGAGGCAUUUGCUGAGCACGGAGAAACCCGGGAGAGAUCAACAGUUCUGUUUCACACACACACACCCACCCCUUGAUCUAUCCGAUUUACCUACAGAGAGCCAGCCAGAAUCAUCUUCUAAGAAUCUUUGGGCCCAGAACAGAGACCUUAAGGGUCAGAGGACUGUGAUGCUUAACAUUUAAACUUGCUCAAGACUUUAGAGUUGAAAGGGAUUAACAGUAUCCCUAGCAUGACCUUCUAGAUCAGAAUAGACUGGCAACUUUUAUACAUGACAUUCCCAUGCUGUCUUUCCCUUCAGCCUCCUGCAAAAUUUGCUGAACACUCUACCACCACCUCCUUUUCCUCCCUGCUACACCUGUGUUGUGGGUGUUAGCCUGGCCGCCCUUGGUCUCUUCCAGAGAGAGAAUAGUCACUUCCUCUUGUAACAAGCUAAGGAAAACUAAGUGAGAAGGUUCAUUUACUUUGGGUAAGCAAUUUAACCUCUGAGCCUAUUUUUCUUUUCAUUGUUCAUUACUUGUCCAAAAAGCUCCUAUAAGACAGGGGUUUUUUCUACUUCAUUUCUGUACCAUGUUCCUUCCCAACAAGUAUCUGACCCCAAGGAGCUCAAUA